AGAGUUUGAUCAUGGCUCAGAACGAACGCUGGCGGCAGGCCUAACACAUGCAAGUCGAGCGCCCGCAAGGGAGCGGCAGACGGGUGAGUAACGCGUGGGAACCUACCUAGUGGUGCGGAACAACCAAGGGAAACUUUGGCUAAUGCCGCAUGAGCCCCAAGGGGGAAAGAUUUAUCGCCAUUAGAUGGGCCCGCGUCGGAUUAGCUAGUUGGUGAGGUAAAGGCUCACCAAGGCGACGAUCCGUAGCUGGUCUGAGAGGAUGAUCAGCCACACUGGGACUGAGACACGGCCCAGACUCCUACGGGAGGCAGCAGUGGGGAAUAUUGGACAAUGGGCGCAAGCCUGAUCCAGCCAUGCCGCGUGAGUGAUGAAGGCCUUAGGGUUGUAAAACUCUUUCGACGGGGAAGAUAAUGACGGUACCCGUAGAAGAAGCCCCGGCUAACUUCGUGCCAGCAGCCGCGGUAAUAC
RNAcentral lists this ribosomal RNA (468 nucleotides) under uncultured bacterium. RNAcentral's name for it is "bacterial SSU rRNA". It matches the Rfam family "Bacterial small subunit ribosomal RNA", at positions 8 to 526 of the family's 1533-position model. The record is from RNAcentral.